This 323-nucleotide unclassified non-coding RNA is filed under the name soil metagenome. Its description in RNAcentral is "partial contains 5.8S ribosomal RNA, internal transcribed spacer 2, and large subunit ribosomal RNA". The stretch from base 1 to 120 matches the Rfam family "5.8S ribosomal RNA", at positions 35 to 154 of the family's 154-position model. The record is from RNAcentral.
GAUGAAGAACGUAGCGAAAUGCGAUAAGUAAUGCGAAUUGCAGAAUUCAGUGAGUCAUCGAAUCUUUGAACGCACAUUGCGCCCUGUGGUAUUCCGCAGGGCAUGCCUGUUCGAGCGUCAUUUCAACCCUCAAGCUCUGCUUGGUGUUGGGCCCUGCCCGCUGCGGCCGGCCCUAAAGACAGUGGCGGUGCCGCCUGGCCCUGAGCGUAGUACAUCUCUCGCUCCAGUGCCCGGUGGUAGCCUGCCAGAACCCCAACUCUCGUGGUUGACCUCGGAUCAGGUAGGGAUACCCGCUGAACUUAAGCAUAUCAAUACGCGGAGGA